RNAcentral lists this ribosomal RNA (382 nucleotides) under uncultured bacterium. RNAcentral describes it as "bacterial SSU rRNA". It matches the Rfam family "Bacterial small subunit ribosomal RNA", at positions 28 to 417 of the family's 1533-position model. The record is from RNAcentral.
GACGAACGCUGGCGGCGUGCUUAACACAUGCAAGUCGAACGGUGAAGCCCUUCGGGGUGGAUCAGUGGCGAACGGGUGAGUAACACGUGAGCAAUCUGCCCUUGACUCUGGGAUAACUUCGGGAAACCGGAGCUAAUACCGGAUAUGACGCACGGAGGCAUCUUCUGUGUGUGGAAAGAUUUAUCGGUCAGGGAUGAGCUCGCGGCCUAUCAGCUUGUUGGGGGUAAUGGCCUACCAAGCGACGACGGUAGCCGGCCUGAGAGGGCGACCGGCCACACUGGGACUGAGACACGGCCCAGACUCCUACGGGAGGCAGCAGUGGGGAAUAUUGCGCAAUGGGCGAAAGCCUGACGCAGCGACGCCGCGUGAGGGAUGAAGGCCU